RNAcentral lists this ribosomal RNA (467 nucleotides) under uncultured bacterium. RNAcentral describes it as "partial 16S ribosomal RNA". It matches the Rfam family "Bacterial small subunit ribosomal RNA", at positions 28 to 506 of the family's 1533-position model. The record is from RNAcentral.
GACGAACGCUGGCGGCGUGCUUAACACAUGCAAGUCGAACGGAAAGGCCCUGCUUUUGUGGGGUGCUCGAGUGGCGAACGGGUGAGUAACACGUGAGUAACCUGCCCUUGACUUUGGGAUAACCUCAGGAAACUGGGGCUAAUACCGGAUAGGAGCUCCUGCUGCAUGGUGGGGGUUGGAAAGUUUCGGCGGUUGGGGAUGGACUCGCGGCUUAUCAGCUUGUUGGUGGGGUAGUGGCUUACCAAGGCUUUGACGGGUAGCCGGCCUGAGAGGGUGACCGGCCACAUUGGGACUGAGAUACGGCCCAGACUCCUACGGGAGGCAGCAGUGGGGAAUAUUGCACAAUGGGCGGAAGCCUGAUGCAGCAACGCCGCGUGCGGGAUGACGGCCUUCGGGUUGUAAACCGCUUUCGCCUGUGACGAAGCGUGAGUGACGGGAAUGGGGAAAGAAGCACCGGCUAACUACGU